GGGCCCGCACAAGCAGUGGAGCAUGUGGUUUAAUUCGAUGCAACGCGAAGAACCUUACCAACCCUUGACAUCCAGUGGAAGUUUUAGAGAUAAAACUGUGCCUUUUGGGAACACUGUGACAGGUGUUGCAUGGCUGUCGUCAGCUCGUGUCGUGAGAUGUAUGGUUAAGUCCAGUAACGAGCGCAACCCUUAUCCUUAUUUGCCAGCACUUCGGGUGGGAACUAUAGGGAGACUGCCGUGAAUAACACGGAGGAAGGUGGGACGACGUCAAGUCAUCAUGGCCCUUACGGGUUGGGCUACACACGUGCUACAAUGGGAGAUACAGAUGGUUGCGAAAGCGCGAGCUGGAGC
RNAcentral lists this ribosomal RNA (351 nucleotides) under uncultured bacterium. RNAcentral describes it as "bacterial SSU rRNA". It matches the Rfam family "Bacterial small subunit ribosomal RNA", at positions 917 to 1268 of the family's 1533-position model. The record is from RNAcentral.